This 638-nucleotide ribosomal RNA is filed under the name uncultured bacterium. RNAcentral's name for it is "bacterial SSU rRNA". It matches the Rfam family "Bacterial small subunit ribosomal RNA", at positions 69 to 698 of the family's 1533-position model. The record is from RNAcentral.
GCAGCAGGUUUGUAGCAAUACAGAUGCUGGCGACCGGCAAACGGGUGCGGAACACGUACGCAACCUCCCUCCUUCUGGAAGAUAGUCCACCGAAAGGUGGAUUAAUACUCCAUAAUAUAUUGAAGUGGCAUCACUUUAAUAUUAAAGCUCCGGCGGAAAGAGAUGGGCGUGCGUCUGAUUAGGUAGUUGGCGGGGUAACGGCCCACCAAGCCUGCGAUCAGUAGCUGAUGUGAGAGCAUGACCAGCCACACGGGCACUGAGACACGGGCCCGACUCCUACGGGAGGCAGCAGUAAGGAAUAUUGGUCAAUGGACGCAAGUCUGAACCAGCCAUGCCGCGUGGAGGAUGAAGGCCCUCUGGGUUGUAAACUUCUUUUCUCUGGGACGAAACCCCCGAUUUCCAUCGGGCCUGACGGUACCAGAGGAAUAAGCACCGGCUAACUCCGUGCCAGCAGCCGCGGUAAUACGGAGGGUGCAAGCGUUAUCCGGAUUCACUGUGUUUAAAGGGUGCGUAGGUGGGCAAGUAAGUCAGUGGUGAAAUCUCUGGGCUUAACCCGGAAACUGCCAUUGAUACUAUUUGUCUUGAAUUCUCUGGAGGUAAGCGGAAUAUGUCAUGUAGCGGUGAAAUGCUUAGAUAUG